Non-coding RNA from Picea glauca (white spruce), 119 nucleotides. NCBI's taxonomy places the organism in Eukaryota, Viridiplantae, Streptophyta, Pinopsida, Pinales, Pinaceae. The record is from Rfam.
AAUGUAAUGCAUACAUUUACAAUGCAUUGGAUCCCAUUAGAACUCAGCAGUUAAGCACGCUUGGGAUAGAGUAGUACUGGGAUGGGUGACCUCCCGGGAAUUCCUAGUGUUUUACAUGC